RNAcentral lists this unclassified non-coding RNA (5401 nucleotides) under Hevea brasiliensis (rubber tree). The record is from RNAcentral. Lineage: Eukaryota; Viridiplantae; Streptophyta; Magnoliopsida; Malpighiales; Euphorbiaceae.
GAAAAAUUAAAAUCUAGGGCCAGGUUAGCGUUAAAAGUCUCAGCCCCGAUUUCGGACUCGGGUCCAGGAGGAAUUUCGACAAAAAUCGGUGCCCCAGAUCCGGCUAUCUCCGGAUAUGAGUAGCUUGGUUGAAAGGCUUCGUGUAAGAUCAGAGCGAAGGCCAAUUUAUAUCUUAGAUGAGUCAGAUGAUGAUGCUGAUUUUUUGUCAGGAAAACCUGGGAAAUCUCAGGAAAAAAUUGAAAGGAUAGUCAGGCCUGAUGCGAAAGAUGACUGCUGUCAGUCUUGUGGAGAAAACGGGGAUCUUCUGAGCUGUGAAACUUGCACCUACGCUUACCAUGCCAAGUGUCUACUUCCACCGCUAAAAGCUACUCUUCCUAGCAACUGGAGAUGUCCUGAAUGUGUUAGCCCUCUGAAUGACAUUGAUAAGAUAUUGGACUGUGAAAUGCGUCCUACUGUAGCUGGUGAUAACGAUGUCUCUAAGUUGGGCUCGAAGCAAAUUUUUGUGAAACAGUAUCUUGUGAAGUGGAAGGGAUUAUCUUAUCUGCACUGCACUUGGGUACCAGAGAAAGAGUUCUUAAAGGCUUUCAAGUCAAAUCCUCGUCUGAGGACUAAAGUCAACAACUUCCAUCGUCAAAUGGAAUCAAACAAUAACUCUGAGGAUGACUUUGUUGCUAUUCGGCCCGAGUGGACUACUGUUGACCGGAUCCUUGCUUGCAGGGGAGAUGAGAAUGAGAAAGAGUAUUUUGUGAAGUAUAAAGAACUUCCCUAUGAUGAAUGCUAUUGGGAAUUUGAAUCAGAUAUAUCUGCAUUUCAGCCUGAAAUAGAAAGAUUUAACAGAAUUCAGUCUAGAUCUCGCAAAUUGAGCAAGCAGAAGAGCAGCCUUAAAGAUGCUACCGAUUCCAAGAAGAAACCAAAAGAAUUUCAACAGUAUGAACAUAGUCCUGAAUUUCUAACUGGAGGCUCAUUACAUCCAUAUCAACUAGAAGGGUUGAACUUCUUACGUUUCUCGUGGUCCAAACAGACACAUGUGAUACUUGCUGAUGAGAUGGGCCUUGGGAAAACUAUACAGAGUAUUGCAUUUUUAGCAUCUCUUUUUGAAGAAAGCAUCUCACCGCAUUUGGUAGUAGCUCCACUUUCAACAUUGCGAAAUUGGGAGCGCGAAUUUGCAACGUGGGCACCUCAAAUGAAUGUUGUUAUGUAUGUUGGCUCUGCACAUGCUCGUGCUAUUAUAAGGGAAUAUGAAUUUUAUUAUCCCAAGAAUCACAAGAAGAUCAAGAAAAAGAAAUCUGGUCAAGUUGUUGGUGAUAAAAAACAAGAUAGGAUAAAAUUUGACGUGCUGUUAACUUCUUAUGAAAUGAUUAACUUGGACACAGCAUCAUUGAAACCAAUAAAGUGGGAGAGCAUGAUUGUUGAUGAAGGUCAUCGUCUCAAAAAUAAGGAUUCAAAAUUAUUUCUUUCAUUGAAGCAGUAUUCUAGCAAUCAUCGUGUGCUUUUGACUGGAACUCCUCUUCAGAACAAUCUGGAUGAACUCUUCAUGCUCAUGCACUUCCUUGAUGCUGGGAAGUUUGCUAGUUUGGAGGAGUUCCAGGAGGAGUUUAAGGAUAUAAAUCAAGAGGAGCAAAUUUCGAGACUUCAUAAAAUGUUGGCUCCCCAUCUCCUUAGAAGGGUCAAGAAGGAUGUCAUGACAGAGCUACCUCCUAAGAAGGAACUCAUUUUACGUGUUGAACUAAGUAGCAAGCAGAAAGAAUAUUACAAGGCCAUUUUGACUCGUAACUAUCAAAUAUUGACCCGACGUGGUGGUCCACAGAUUUCUCUUAUCAAUGUGGUUAUGGAAUUGCGCAAGCUGUGCUGUCAUGCUUAUAUGUUAGAAGGAGUUGAACCAGAUAUUGAAGAUGCCAGUGAAUCUUACAAGUACUUGGUUUUGUUCUUUUAUAUUAGUAUGUGGUGUGUGAGAGAGCGAGAGUGCACACGUGUGCAUUUACUUUGUAUGUGGAUAGUAUACUUAUUUUCUACAUUGGGAUUAUGAUAGGAUAUAUUCUUUCAUCUUCUACAUUUGCAUCUUUUGUUUUUUCUAGGGAGCAUGGGCUAUAUUUAUUCAAGAAAAGUAUUAGGUUUCCUUGUACUUGUAGAGCUUGAAAGGAAUCUAUCUUGAUGGUUUUGUCAGGUCAAACAUCUUUUUGAGGGGGCAAAUGUUUCUGUCACAUCGUUCAUUCAACUGCUAGUUUCUUCUAUAUUUUAUCUUAUUGCCUAUAUUGAAAGAUAGCUAGAAUCUUCUGGAAAUCAGAACUAUAGAAAACAAUUUGUUCUAGAAAAUGCUUUCAAGUAUGCUAAAUUAUACACUGCAUUAUUAUUCAUCUGUUUGUGCUUCGACAGACAGCUUGUGGAAUCUUCUGGGAAACUGCAAUUGUUGGACAAAAUGAUGGUGAAGCUUAAAGAGCAGGGACAUAGAGUUCUUAUUUAUUCACAAUUUCAGCACAUGCUAGACUUGCUGGAAGAUUAUUGCACUUAUAAGAAAUGGCAGUAUGAACGGAUAGAUGGAAGGGUUGGUGGAGCCGAGAGACAAGUACGCAUAGAUCGAUUUAAUGCCAAAAAUUCUUCAAGAUUUUGUUUUCUGCUUUCUACUAGGGCUGGAGGAUUGGGAAUAAACCUUGCAACUGCUGAUACAGUUAUUAUAUAUGAUAGUGAUUGGAAUCCUCAUGCUGAUCUUCAAGCAAUGGCCAGAGCUCAUCGACUUGGCCAAACCAACAAGGUAAUGAUUUAUAGGCUUGUUACACGAGGAACUAUUGAGGAACGAAUGAUGCAGAUGACUAAGAAGAAAAUGGUUUUAGAACAUCUUGUUGUUGGGAGGUUGAAGGCACAAAAUAUUAACCAAGAAGAACUAGAUGACAUUAUUAGGUAUGGUUCAAAGGAGCUAUUUGCUGAUGAGAACGAUGAAGCAGGAAAAUCACGUCAAAUUCAUUAUGAUGAUGCUGCUAUAGACCGAUUACUUGACCGUGAACAAGUUGGAGAUGAAGAAGCUUCAUUAGAUGAUGAGGAAGAUGGAUUUUUGAAGGCCUUCAAGGUUGCAAACUUUGAGUAUAUUGACGAAGCAGAGGCUGCAGCAGAGGAGGAAGCUCGAAAGGCGGCUGCAGAAGCAAGAUCUGCCAUGAGCAAUUCUGAAAGAGCAAAUUACUGGGAAGAGUUGUUAAAAGACCAGUAUGAAGUGCAUAAGAUCAAGGAGUUCAAUGCCUUGGGCAAGGGAAAAAGAAGCCGUAAACAGAUGGUGUCUGUUGAAGAAGAUGAUCUUGCUGGUUUGGAAGAUGUAAGCACUGAAGGCGAGGAUGAUAAUUAUGAAGCUGAUUUAACUGAUAGUGAAACAGCUUCUUCUGGAACUCAAACUGGGAGAAAGCCUUACAGAAAGAAAGCUCGCGUGGAUAAUAUGGAGCCAAUUCCUCUGAUGGAAGGUGAAGGAAGGUCAUUCAGGGUAUUGGGUUUCAAUCAAAAUCAGAGGGCUGCUUUUGUACAAAUUUUGAUGAGGUUUGGGGUAGGGGAGUAUGACUGGAAGGAGUUUGCAUCUCGCAUGAAACAGAAGACAUAUGAAGAAAUAAGAGAUUAUGCAGUUCUUUUCUUGUCUCACAUUACUGAAGAUAUAACCGACUCGCCAAACUUUUCAGAUGGUGUUCCUAAAGAAGGACUUCGAAUACUAGAUGUACUUGUUAGGAUUGCUAUACUGCUUCUGAUCAGGGAUAAGGUGAAGUUUGCAUUAGAGAAGCCAGGCACUCCACUUUUCACAGAUGACAUUGUCCUGCGCUAUCCGGGGUUGAAGAGCGGAAAAUUUUGGAAAGAAGAACAUGACUUGUUAUUGCUUCGUGCAGUAUUGAAGCAUGGAUAUGGAAGAUGGCAAGCUAUUGUUGACGACAAAGACUUGAGGAUUCAGGAGGUCAUUUGUCAAGAGUUGAAUCUUCCUUUUAUAAAUCUACCUGUCCCAGGACAAGCUAGUUCUCAAGCACAAAAUGGUGUUAACACAGUUGCAGCGGAAGCUCCUAGUACUCAGGUGCAGGGAAAUGGAAAUGGUACUAGCAAUUGUUUGGCAGCUGAUGUUGCACAGGGUGUGACAGAUGUUGCCAACCAACCACAGUUAUAUCAGGAUUCUUCUAUACUAUAUCAUUUUAGAGACAUGCAGAGACGACAGGUUGAGUUCAUUAAGAAGAGAGUUCUGCUUUUGGAGAAAGGUCUCAAUGCUGAGUACCAGAAAGAAUACUUUGAUGAUGACCCAAAAUCAAACGAAUUUACAGGUGAAGAGCCUGAAGGUGACAUAAAGGCUGCAGAUGGAUCAAAUUUAAGCUCCAUAGAGAUUGAUGCUCAAAUGAUUGAUCAGUUGCCUCAAAUAGAACCAAUUACAUCCGAAGAAAUUUCCAAAGCUGCUUGUGAUGAUGAUCCAGAUAGAUUAGAAUUGCCGCAACUGUAUAACAAGAUGUGCAAUGUAUUGGAGCUUAACAUUCAUGAAUCAAUUCAGACAUCCCUAACCAACAAACCGGCCAGUCUAAAGUUGAGGCAGGACCUUCUUCCAUUGGAGACUAUUUGUGAUCAGAUAAAUCAAAUUCUCUCUGUGGAACAGAAGUCUUCUUCUGAACAGCAAGUACUUGAUCCAAAUCAAGCACAAGCUGAGUUAAAGGACAAUCUACCAGAAUCACAUUCACCUUCUAUCCAGCAGAAUAAUGAUAAACCUUCUGCUUUGGAAGAUACUGAGAUGAAGGAUGUAACAACGGAGUCCAAAUUGCAAAGAGAAGGCAGCGUAUUGAUAGACCAGGGGCUGGUUAAAGAGCCAGACAAAUCUCCAUGUGAUAUUGGAGCUUCUGCCGAUAAAUGUACAUUUUCAAAGGAAAUGACCGAGAAUGAAGUUGAAAUGCAAGAAGUUAAAAACGAUGCUGCCUGUUCAUCAGGGAUAGCUGAAAAUGAUUCGGGAGUUGAAGAAAUGAAGAAUGAUACAGAGACCAAAACUGAAGCUAUCCCAAAUGAAAAUGAAAUUGCCGAUAAAUUGAAAUCAGGGGUCAUCAUUUUAGAAGACUGAUACCAUACAAAUAACAAUCUCAUUACAUCUUUCAUGAUUCUGUUGCUGUAACAUUUAUUUUUACAGGCCUUAGCAAAAGGUGACUCAAUUUGCUGCAACUCUCCAAUAUCCAUAGAUCCUUUUCUUUGGUGUUUCAUGUAGAUUGCAUUUUCAACUUUGAAAGCAUGAGACAAAUUUAUGCGGAGUUACGAAACUCAAUAUAUUAACGAAAAGCUGAUCAAUAUUUAGUCUCAAGCAACCUCAAAGGAGGUUCACCUUGUGGAGCUCUUUAUUAAAAAAAUCAAUUUAUAGACUCUGAAUGAAUACCCCCCAAUUUCCAAAUGCGUCGCUAAUUUGUAGUUAAUAUUGGUC